This 744-nucleotide ribosomal RNA is filed under the name Triticum aestivum (bread wheat). RNAcentral's name for it is "partial small subunit ribosomal RNA". The record is from RNAcentral. Lineage: Eukaryota; Viridiplantae; Streptophyta; Magnoliopsida; Poales; Poaceae.
AUGGAGCCGCACCUCUCCAUCUCUCCCAUGGCGCCAGCUGGAGCCAACGAGGUCAGUCCGCGGUCAGAUCUGCCACGGCCACAGAGGGCCUUUCGGAUCCGCGCCGUCGUCGAGCUUGAUCCGCGCCCUCCCAGGCACACCAUGGCCGACGUCCUCAAGGAGGAGGAGGAGGAUGACCAGGACAUGCGCGACCCCACACCCGGGCCUGACGAGCUUGAAGAGGAGAUCGCCGAGUCCGACCUCAAGCUCGACCAUGACGGUGUCGUCCAUCCCGACCACGACGACGCGCGACAGAAGCGCCCUCCCCAGCAGCAGCAGCAGCACACGAUGAGCGGCGCGAGGUGGGCGGCGAGGCCGGCGACCUUCACGGCGGCACAGGACGAGGAGUUGGAGCAGCAGGCGCUCAUCUACAAGUACCUCGUCGCCGGCGUCCCCGUCCCGCCGGAUCUCCGCCUCCCCAUCCGCCGCGGCUUUGACUCCCUCGCCUCGUGCUUCUACCACCACCACGCCCGUGCAAAGAUUGAACCUCUCAAUGUGAUAUUUGGCCACGAGGGAGGUGGUGAUCAGGUGAACAACAUAUGCCUGGAAGACCUCUGGCCCAGCUCAACUCCAUCUCCAUGCACCUCGGCGAGAUCGUCGGUAAUGGACGCCGCCUGCCUCGUAUCAUUCUUUCUGGAUAACAUUCUAGUGUGGCAACAUUUAGUAAUUUACAGCUGCCUGUUUAUGGUGCUAUGCAAACUCUGA